Molecule: small RNA, 530 nt
Filed under: Candida tropicalis
Lineage: Eukaryota; Fungi; Ascomycota; Pichiomycetes; Serinales; Debaryomycetaceae
Description: eukaryotic LSU rRNA
Rfam family: 5.8S ribosomal RNA (bases 170-323)
Source: RNAcentral
UCCGUAGGUGAACCUGCGGAAGGAUCAUUACUGAUUUGCUUAAUUGCACCACAUGUGUUUUUUAUUGAACAAAUUUCUUUGGUGGCGGGAGCAAUCCUACCGCCAGAGGUUAUAACUAAACCAAACUUUUUAUUUACAGUCAAACUUGAUUUAUUAUUACAAUAGUCAAAACUUUCAACAACGGAUCUCUUGGUUCUCGCAUCGAUGAAGAACGCAGCGAAAUGCGAUACGUAAUAUGAAUUGCAGAUAUUCGUGAAUCAUCGAAUCUUUGAACGCACAUUGCGCCCUUUGGUAUUCCAAAGGGCAUGCCUGUUUGAGCGUCAUUUCUCCCUCAAACCCCCGGGUUUGGUGUUGAGCAAUACGCUAGGUUUGUUUGAAAGAAUUUAACGUGGAAACUUAUUUUAAGCGACUUAGGUUUAUCCAAAACGCUUAUUUUGCUAGUGGCCACCACAAUUUAUUUCAUAACUUUGACCUCAAAUCAGGUAGGACUACCCGCUGAACUUAAGCAUAUCAAUAAGCGGAGGAAAAGA